RNAcentral lists this long non-coding RNA (392 nucleotides) under Rattus norvegicus (Norway rat). RNAcentral's name for it is "long non-coding RNA NONRATT017735". Lineage: Eukaryota; Metazoa; Chordata; Mammalia; Rodentia; Muridae. The record is from RNAcentral.
CCUCAGUCCUCUCGUGAAGACCAGAGAAGGGAAGACAUUUGAUGGAGACCCAGUAACUCUGUGGAAAUAAUACUAAAGAGAGUGGACGGUAAACUGCUGCAGAGGCUUCACUAUGGCUGUGUUGAAUAUGGAGUCACGUGACUGUAAAGACAGCAAGAGGAGACAGCUCAUGUGGAAAGAUUCAAAGGAACAUCAAUGUUUAAGAAACAAAUCCUUUUAGAAGUAACAAUCAGGACAAUCCCAGGAAAUUAAAACAGUAUGUAUUUGAUUUGGUUGUGUCAUGAUAAAUAUACAUACUAAGAGUGUAUGAGCCAAAAUCCUUCCCUCCUGUGUGGCUUAGAAUGGCAAUGUCUUCUGUUGUUUAAUAAAGCAUGAUUUAACAGAGCUUCGAA